This is a long non-coding RNA of Mastomys coucha (southern multimammate mouse), 984 nucleotides long. RefSeq lists it as uncharacterized. Lineage: Eukaryota; Metazoa; Chordata; Mammalia; Rodentia; Muridae. The transcript is spliced from 2 exons. The record is from RefSeq and is a predicted model, not a curated record.
UGAAAAUACAACAAGAAGACCAGAGCCAGGAAGAGGCCCUCGGCAGACACCACAUCUGUCUCUGGAUUUUUGAUCUCCCGAAUACUGAGAAUCAUGGCAUAUUUCCAAAGGAGGACGAGUCCAUCACAGCUUACAGGAGACAAGUGUCUACACCGAGGUUCUCAAGUCCAACUUGACUGACAGUCGGUACUGGAGGCACUGGGUUUCCUGACCCCAGAAGCAGGGGAAACAGAAGCCAACCGGAAAUCACUCUUUCUACCCUUCGGACAACAUUAGGACCUUGGAAAGUGGCACACAGACCAAUCCCGAUUUGAUAGGAAUUGCCCAAUGGCACAGGAGGGCUGAGAGGUGGCCGUCUCGAGAAGAUAUUUGGAGGCUUGUACCAUGAAAUGUUAUUAUCCACCCUAUUUUAGAGAGGAAGAAAUGUAAGCUCUAGUAAAUAUAUAAUUACCUCAGAUCACUCAACUUGAGCUAGCAGAGUAGGGGGCGGGGGGCAGGGUUGAAAACCAGACAAAGAGACCCCAGACCACAUUCUUUUAUUGCAUAGCCCUGGACCCUGGCCUCAACCAUAGACAUUUUUUUCUCCUAACUUCCUUUUACCCCCACCGCAUGAAAAAUUGCAAAUGAGAUGUAUUUCCUUUCAUUUAGACCGUUUCAAAAGCCAUUGUUACUUAAGUGAGGAGGUUGGAGGGCUUCCAAAGACUGAAAUAUACAGAAAACAUCUGGCAGUGUUCUCUAACACAUACACACUUACGAGCAUACCACAGGCAGACCAGGAAGAGCCAGAGCAGAUGCCAUCUCAAAGCUUGACUUUUGAAUACAAGGCAGAGUAGGUCAUGGGUGAGCCGUCUGUGAAACUCUCUCUGUGCAGGAUUGUUUGGGUCAUUGCUGUCCCAUGAAAACAAGUGGGCUAAUUUGAGCAAUAGUUUGCUCAACUACAUCUGUAAGAUUAGGUCCUUAGAAAACCAGGGCCAGAAAGAGAAA